GACGGAGGAUGCAAGUGUUAUCCGGAAUCACUGGGCGUAAAGCGUCUGUAGGUUGUUUAAUAAGUCAACUGUUAAAUCUUGAGGCUCAACUUCAAAAUCGCAGUCGAAACUAUUAGACUAGAGUAUAGUAGGGGUAAAGGGAAUUUCCAGUGGAGCGGUGAAAUGCGUAGAGAUUGGAAAGAACACCAAUGGCGAAGGCACUUUACUGGGCUAUUACUAACACUCAGAGACGAAAGCUAGGGUAGCAAAUGGG
RNAcentral lists this ribosomal RNA (253 nucleotides) under uncultured bacterium. RNAcentral describes it as "partial 16S ribosomal RNA". It matches the Rfam family "Bacterial small subunit ribosomal RNA", at positions 524 to 776 of the family's 1533-position model. The record is from RNAcentral.